GGCUCAGUAGCUUACUUGGUAAAGCACUUGUCUAGUAUACAAGAGACGUAGGUUCGAAUCUCACCUGAGUAC
Aedes aegypti (yellow fever mosquito) is the source of this 72-nucleotide non-coding RNA. Lineage: Eukaryota; Metazoa; Arthropoda; Insecta; Diptera; Culicidae. The record is from Rfam.